AAAAUAUAUGGAGAUUUCAGAUAUAGUAAUGUGGAUAUUUAU
Molecule: non-coding RNA, 42 nt
Filed under: Trypanosoma brucei brucei
Lineage: Eukaryota; Euglenozoa; Kinetoplastea; Trypanosomatida; Trypanosomatidae
Source: RNAcentral